Molecule: ribosomal RNA, 442 nt
Filed under: uncultured bacterium
Lineage: Bacteria
Description: SSU rRNA
Rfam family: Bacterial small subunit ribosomal RNA
Source: RNAcentral
AGAGCGAACGCUGGCGGCAGGCCUAACACAUGCAAGUCGAGCGCCCCGCAAGGGGAGCGGCAGACGGGAGAGUAACACGUGGGAACGUACCCUUUGGUUCGGAACAACCCAGGGAAACUUGGGCUAAUACCGAAUAAGCCCUUACGGGGAAAGAUUUAUCGCCAAAGGAUCGGCCCGCGUCUGAUUAGCUAGUUGGUGAGGUAACGGCUCACCAAGGCGACGAUCAGUAGCUGGUCUGAGAGGAUGAUCAGCCUCACUGGGACUGAGACACGGCCCAGACUCCUACGGGAGGCAGCAGUGGGGAAUAUUGGACAAUGGGCGCAAGCCUGAUCCAGCCAUGCCGCGUGGGUGAUGAAGGCCCUAGGGUUGUAAAGCCCUUUGGCGGGGAAGAUAAUGACGGUACCCGCAGAAGAAGCCCGGCUAACUUCGCGCCAGCAGCCGC